UGAUGUUGUCAUGGAGAACCCAGCUGGGUGGAUCUGACCGUGGCCCCUCGACUCCCUCCAAUGACCUUACAAGGACAAGGGCUACAAGUCUCCUGAAGGUGGAGAUCACGUCUGUCUUGUCCAUUGUGGUACUUCAUGGAUGCUAAAAAUAUUUGUUGCUUGCAUACACGAAUUUGUUGCUUGCAUACACGAAUGAACACGUCAAACAAAACCAUCUGUAAUUUCUACCACUACAGAGAAAAACAACAUUUGCUGUUCAGUUUUGAGCUCUCCAGAAAGGCUCCAUCAGCAGUGGAUGUGAGGGUGGGUUCUUCGUAUUCGGGUUGCACCGGGCAUGGCUUCU
Molecule: long non-coding RNA, 343 nt
Organism: Carlito syrichta (Philippine tarsier)
Lineage: Eukaryota; Metazoa; Chordata; Mammalia; Primates; Tarsiidae
Exons: 3
Source: RefSeq, a predicted model, not a curated record